AUCAAUGGCGGGCCGGGCGGGGAGGCUUCGGCCUGCCGGUUCCUUUGUCCCGGUCUGCUAACCCCGCUUUGGCCCGCCCCCCGU
This is a non-coding RNA of Aedes aegypti (yellow fever mosquito), 84 nucleotides long. Lineage: Eukaryota; Metazoa; Arthropoda; Insecta; Diptera; Culicidae. The record is from Rfam.